AUUGAACGCUGGCGGCAGGCCUAACACAUGCAAGUCGAGCGGAUGAAGGGAGCUUGCUCCUGGAUUCAGCGGCGGACGGGUGAGUAAUGCCUAGGAAUCUGCCUGGUAGUGGGGGAUAACGUCCGGAAACGGGCGCUAAUACCGCAUACGUCCUGAGGGAGAAAGUGGGGGAUCUUCGGACCUCACGCUAUCAGAUGAUCCUAGGUCGGAUUAGCUAGUUGGUGGGGUAAAGGCCUACCAAGGCGACGAUCCGUAACUGGUCUGAGAGGAUGAUCAGUCACACUGGAACUGAGACACGGUCCAGACUCCUACGGGAGGCAGCAGUGGGGAAUAUUGGACAAUGGGCGAAAGCCUGAUCCAGCCAUGCCGCGUGUGUGAAGAAGGUCUUCGGAUUGUAAAGCACUUUAAGUUGGGAGGAAGGGUAGUAAGUUAAUACCUUGCUGUUUUGACGUUACCAACAGAAUAAGCACCGGCUAACUUCGUG
Molecule: ribosomal RNA, 484 nt
Filed under: uncultured bacterium
Lineage: Bacteria
Description: partial 16S ribosomal RNA
Rfam family: Bacterial small subunit ribosomal RNA
Source: RNAcentral